RNAcentral lists this ribosomal RNA (440 nucleotides) under uncultured bacterium. RNAcentral's name for it is "partial 16S ribosomal RNA". It matches the Rfam family "Bacterial small subunit ribosomal RNA", at positions 338 to 795 of the family's 1533-position model. The record is from RNAcentral.
CCUACGGGUGGCAGCAGUGGGGAAUAUUGCUCAAUGGGGGAAACCCUGAUGCAGCGACGCCGCGUGAGUGAAGAAGUAUUUAGGUAUGUAAAGCUCUAUCAGCAGGGAAGAAAAUGACGGUACCUGAUUAAGAAGCACCGGCUAACUACGUGCCAGCAGCCGCGGUAAUACGUAGGGGGCAAGCGUUAUCCGGAUUUACUGGGUGUAAAGGGAGCGUAGACGGCAGCACAAGUCUGGAGUGAAAUGCCGGGGCUUAACCCCGGAACUGCUUUGGAAACUGUGAAGCUAGAGUGCAGGAGAGGUAAGUGGAAUUCUUGGUGUAGCGGUGAAAUGCGUAGAUAUUAGGAGGAAUACUAGUGGCGAAGGCGGCCUACUGGAAUGUAACUGACGUUGAGGCACGAAAGCGUGGGGAGCAAGCAGGAUUAGAUACCCUGGUAGUC